This 398-nucleotide ribosomal RNA is filed under the name uncultured bacterium. Its description in RNAcentral is "partial 16S ribosomal RNA". It matches the Rfam family "Bacterial small subunit ribosomal RNA", at positions 523 to 918 of the family's 1533-position model. The record is from RNAcentral.
AUACGUAGGGUGCGAGCGUUGUCCGGAAUUACUGGGCGUAAAGAGCUCGUAGGUGGUUUGUCGCGUCGUCUGUGAAAUUCCGGGGCUUAACUCCGGGCGUGCAGGCGAUACGGGCAUAACUUGAGUACUGUAGGGGAGACUGGAAUUCCUGGUGUAGCGGUGAAAUGCGCAGAUAUCAGGAGGAACACCGGUGGCGAAGGCGGGUCUCUGGGCAGUAACUGACGCUGAGGAGCGAAAGCAUGGGUAGCGAACAGGAUUAGAUACCCUGGUAGUCCAUGCCGUAAACGGUGGGCGCUAGGUGUAGGGGUCUUCCACGACUUCUGUGCCGUAGCUAACGCAUUAAGCGCCCCGCCUGGGGAGUACGGCCGCAAGGUUGAAACUUAAAGGAAUUGACGGGG